This 541-nucleotide transfer RNA is filed under the name uncultured Prochlorococcus sp. Its description in RNAcentral is "partial 16S-23S ribosomal RNA intergenic spacer". The stretch from base 212 to 284 matches the Rfam family "tRNA". The record is from RNAcentral. Lineage: Bacteria; Bacillati; Cyanobacteriota; Cyanophyceae; Synechococcales; Prochlorococcaceae.
CAGGGAGACAACAAAAUGUUUAAUAUUAUUAUUUUGUCACCUUAGGUCGAUCGGUAUCUCACGUUCUUAAUUUAUUAAGAAUUUCAUUUUCUAAGUUUUUCUAGGUCACACCCAUUAUUUUUCCUGGGCCAUUAGCUCAGGUGGUUAGAGCGCACCCCUGAUAAGGGUGAGGUCCCUGGUUCAAGUCCAGGAUGGCCCAUAUCUCUAUGUUGGGGGUAUAGCUCAGUUGGUAGAGCGCCUGCUUUGCAAGCAGGAUGUCAGCGGUUCGAGUCCGCUUACCUCCACUGAUUACCACCUCUUUCAUAACUGGUAGUAAAGGAAAUGUUUUGAGUUGUGAUCAAAUUCUGAAAGAAUCUAGCUUCCUAAUGAAAUCAUUAAGAUGCUGGACUCAUUGAAUUAAUUUCAUUGUUUUCAGAGAACCUUGACAACUGCAUAGAUUAUUUUAAAGACAAUAAGCAUCUUUAAUGAUGCAGAUUUAUUAUUUGUGCGAAUGCAUUAAUAACAAUUCUAUUAAGCUGAUGCUUCAAUUUUUGAAGUUAUU